UUUUUUUUUUUUUUUUUUUUUUUUUUUGCAUACCCACUUUUCCUAAUGCAAUAAGCAGAGAGGAUUCUGGAAUCAUCUUUUUUUUUGCAACAAACUGCUCAGGAUAAUUUGUGUUGGCUGCUGCUGCCUCCAGUCAUCAUACAAGUCAGCUUUAAGUUCCAAGUCAAACUUCAGUUGCUCAAAGCCAUCCAUGAUGAACAGAAUUUGCUCUGGCUGGGAAAAAAAGUCUUUGAUCUUUUCUGGAGACUCAGGCCAGUUCCAGUCCCUAGAGAGGAGCUCCAGUAAGCUGGUCUCUGUGAUACCGUUCGUUUCACAGACAUUAAGGAAGAAAACAAAUGUGAAUCUAUCCUUCCAUAACAUAAGUUUCCCUCUGCCCAGUCCAACAUCACUUUUUUUUUUUUUUUUUUUUUUUUUUUUUUUUUGAGACUGAGUCUUGUUCUGUCAUCCAGGUUGCAGUGCAAUGGUGCGAUCUCAGCUCAGUGCAACCUCUGCCUCCCAGGUUCAAGUGAUUCUCCUGCCUCAGCCUCCCAAGUAGUUGGAAUUAUAGGCAUGCACCAGCAUGCCCAGCUAAUUUUUGUAUUUUUAUAGAGACAGGGUUUCGCCAUAUUGGCCAGGCUGGACUCGAACUCCUGGCCUCAAGUGAUCCACCCACCUUGGCCUCCCAAAGUACUGAUGUUACAGGCGUGAGUCACUACAUGUGGCUGCUGCUUGACUUUCUAAGUGAGACAUUCACAUUCUGGACCUGCAGUAAACAGAUUUGCAAAAGCCAGGAAGGCAGAUUAGUAAGGUUAGUUCCACGUUCUUCUCCCCCUCCACACACACAUUCUUUAGAUUAUGUGGUAAAUAUAAAAUGACACCCCAGAGACGUCCACAUCUUAAUCCCCGGAACCUGUCGAGGUGUUACUGACAUGGCCAAAUGGAUUUUGUAGGGGUGACGUAUUAGUCUGUUCUUGCACUGCUAUAAAGAAAUAACUGAGGGUGGGUCAUUUACAAAGAAAAGAGGUUUAAAUGGCGCUCAGUUCUGCAGGCUGCACAGGAAGCCUGGUAGCCUCUGCUCCUGGGGGGCCCUCAGGGAGCUUUGAUUCAUGGCAGAAGGUGGAGUGGAAGCAGGUAUCUUACAUGGCAGGAACAGGGUCAAAGGCGGGUGGAGGUGCUACACACUUAACCGGACCGCAU
Molecule: long non-coding RNA, 1176 nt
Filed under: Macaca mulatta (Rhesus monkey)
Lineage: Eukaryota; Metazoa; Chordata; Mammalia; Primates; Cercopithecidae
Description: lncRNA (ENSMMUG00000053879.1)
Source: RNAcentral